ACGUCAAUCAAUGACUGGGGUACUGAUCCCACUGUCAAGCAAUAAGCCAUCAGCUAUUUUUCAUCGUUUUUAUAUAUAUGUGGCGCAGAAUCUGCACAGACUAUAUAGUGCUCAGCUCAUAUUGGUAUUUAAUCCUCCUAUGAACCGGACAGUGAAACGCAGUCUUGGAUGAAGAGGACCAGAGGGGCACCACUGAUCCCACAACAGGAAGUCAGCUCGACACAACAGCGCGCCGCAUCUCAAGGCUUCCUCUUCCGCAUCACUGAGCCAGAUAAAAACAGUGAAUCCAGGCACCACCAACGCUGCCUUUUGCCCUCCUCACAACUCACACACACAGCUGCCAGGCUCCAAACUGAAGUUCAGCUCUGCAUUCUUGUCUCUGGUUUUCUCUGAUGGACGUAACGUGCAGAAGGAAGACGUGGCCGCUGAUGUCCCCACUGGAGCAGAGAGGAUACCGUAGCAGAGAAGAACGUGCAGAAGUUCGGACCUGCCGACCGGGUCACGGCACCACUAGAUGGAGCGUGGAGGAGCUCGGGACGCUGGUGGCAGACGUGAGGAAUGAGGAGCAGCCAUCCCUGAGGUGUGUCUGUACGAGAAGCAUCCAGGUGAGUCAUAUUCUUCUCUACCUGCUCCUGCUGUUCUGAGCCGCAGGCACCUGGCCAGAUAUCAGCGGCCUGCACCCCGGUCAAACCACCGUCCCACACUAUGGAGAACUUCAAUUACAGCGGGAUUCUCGGAGCAGAGCGCGAGGGGGUCACAUUGAUUGAGGAGGGCAACAAUUGAUUUUGUCCAUUACGUGGUGAGAAUGUUUCCAUCCUGCGCAGAUCAGGCUGCCCUCCUCCUGUGGGUGGAGAUAAGAGGCCGCUGCAUUGUGGCUGCCUAAUCUGUGUGACGGCGCUUGUCUGUGCUGAAAUUGAUGUGGCUUUUCAUGCGUCCGCGUGUGGGUCUGUGUGGUGGGGGUCUGUUCUUCCGCACCCCCGUCUCAGAUCCACUCAGAGCGCUGAGUGCCACUCACAUCAGCAAACAUGAGGGGGAUUUGCAUCGAUACAGAUAUUUGCCUUGUAUUUGUUCCACAGGAUGUGUGUAAAGAGAAUAAAGGCGUUUGUAAUGACUUGUUGAAUUCUUGAGCCUUUUCUUAUUCUUACAGUGGGACGUGGGUCAGAAGAUGGUCGAAAGUAUUGAUACGAAGGAUUUAAACUAUGCUAAUCUGAAAACAGGAGUUUUAUUGAGAAUAUUUAUUCAGUUUUUUAAAGACCAUAAUGCAUUUAAAUGCGGCCACAAAAAACAUUCAUUUGAAAUUUAGCUUUCUUUAUGUAUGUCCCAGAUCUUUUCUUCAACAAUGUAUUUUUGUCUUUCCUUUUCUGCUGAUGUCCAUUAUGCUAUGUGGGCUUUUGAUAAUCUUAAGAAAGAUGAACACUCAGAAUGACUCACAAUCCAAUCAAUUCACAAUAGAGACAAUGAAGUCCCACUUUAAAUGUUUGAAUAUAAUUUUAAGAAAAACAGUAGGGUCCAAAUGUCUGAGACCACUAUUCAUAUUGUUUUUUUUUCUUAAUUUACUUCAGUUGUUUUCAUUAAAACGUAUUUUAUUACAUAACAAUUUGAGUGAACAGAUUUUGUAUAUUAUUAUUAUUAUUCAUUAACUCUAUCAAGCCUACUGUGUUACAUUUGAUGCUAAAAUGUAUUUAUAAAAUGUAAUUUAUCAACAUGAUCAAAACCUUGUACGCAAUCCACUACAGGCCUUCUGUCAUUUGACUGACUGUUUUAGCACUUUUUUUUUUUUACCAAAUAAAAGGUCUUUUAGCAUCACUGUAGAAAUGUCCACCUUGUGUGUCGAUGUCAAACAUGAUACAACAGGCUUUUGUUGAAAGGUCAUUUGUACAUAUCUCAAUUAUUAUUGCAUUGCAUGUUUUUAAAUAUAAUUUAAAUAUAAGACACAUGCAUUGAGAGAUGCAGAGUGAAAAUGUACAUUUAUAUGCAUUUUAUGUAAGUAGUUUGUCAUACUGUUAUA
This is a long non-coding RNA of Carassius auratus (goldfish), 2008 nucleotides long. RefSeq lists it as uncharacterized. Lineage: Eukaryota; Metazoa; Chordata; Actinopteri; Cypriniformes; Cyprinidae. The transcript has 7 exons. The record is from RefSeq and is a predicted model, not a curated record.